UGGGGAAUUUUGGACAAUGGGCGAAAGCCUGAUCCAGCAAUGCCGCGUGUGUGAAGAAGGCCUUCGGGUUGUAAAGCACUUUUGUCCGGAAAGAAAUGGCUCUGGUUAAUACCUGGGGUCGAUGACGGUGCCGGAAGAAUAAGGACCAGCUAACUACGUGCCAGCAGCCGCGGCAAUACGUAGGGUCCAAGCGUUAAUCGGAAUUACUGGGCGUAAAGCGUGCGCAGGAGGUUGUGCAAGACCGAUGUGAAAUCCCCGAGCUUAACUUGGGGAUUGCAUUGGUGACUGCACGGCUAGAGUGUGUCAGAGGGGGGUAGAAUUCCACGUGUAGCAGUGAAAUGCGUAGAGAUGUGGAGGAAUACCGAUGGCGAAGGCAGCCCCCUGGGAUAACACUGACGCUCAUGCACGAAAGCGUGGGGAGCAAACAGG
RNAcentral lists this ribosomal RNA (429 nucleotides) under Bacillota bacterium. Its description in RNAcentral is "Firmicutes bacterium partial 16S ribosomal RNA". It matches the Rfam family "Bacterial small subunit ribosomal RNA", at positions 355 to 776 of the family's 1533-position model. Lineage: Bacteria; Bacillati; Bacillota. The record is from RNAcentral.